Molecule: ribosomal RNA, 357 nt
Filed under: Holepyris sp.
Lineage: Eukaryota; Metazoa; Arthropoda; Insecta; Hymenoptera; Bethylidae
Description: partial large subunit ribosomal RNA
Source: RNAcentral
UUUGACUGUACAAAGGUAGCAUAAUCAAUUGUUCUUUAAUUAAGAUCUAGAAUGAAGGAGGUGAUGAAUUAAAAUCUUUAUUUAAUUUAUAAAUUGAAUUUAAAUUUAAAGUUAAAAUUCUUUAAUAAAAUUAUGGGACGAGAAGACCCUAUAGAAUUUAAUUUUUUUUAUUAUUUUAAAUUUAUUUAUAAAUUUAAUAAAAAAAAUUUAUUUGGGAGGAAUAAUAAAUUUAUAAACUUUAUAAUUUAAUAAACAAUUAUAAUUGAAUAAAUAGAUUUUAAUUUUAAAUAUUAAAUUAAAUUACCUUAGGGAUAACAGCAUAAUAUUUUUGGAAAGAUCAUAUUUAUAAAAAUGUUU